AAAAAUAAAAAAAUCUAAGAAUAAUUGUUUGCACGGUAUGAAAUGGAAGGAAUAAAAGAAUAUUUACUCAAGAUAAUAACAAAAAUGCAUUUCAUUUGAAUAAAGAUUUUGGAUAUAAGCCUAUUUCACAAAAGGAUUCUUGUUGCUUCUAGGCUUAAAACAACAAGUGUGUUUUGAAUAUUACUCUAGAUUAGCUCUAACAAUAUAAGGAUCUCUUUCAUAGUCCCAUUGUUUAAAACACCCUAAGUACAUAAGGGCAGAAGCUUGGAAAAGUUUAUUCCCUGGUUCUCACUUCUGAUACGUCGUUAAUGUUCGGAUUCCCCAAUACUAGGUCUUAUACUAGACUCCUGAGCUCGAUGUACCAUUGGAUCUCAUGCCCCUAUCCAUCAUGGAACUCAUAAUGUCCACCAUUUUAACAGAAAGGUUGGAUAACAGAUUUCUUGCUCCAGAGGGAUCAUCGAAUUUCACGAUACCCAAUUUGAUAAAUCUUUCGAUUAGCUUCUUAAAAGCGUACAGUUCUCAAUGAAAUGCCCUGUGAUUCUCGCAUGUAUUCACAUUGGCCACUUGCAUCGUACCAUUUAGGAUAUGGAGGCUGUAUAGGUUCUAUGUAAAAAGGGCAAACAACAUGUGCGUCGAACAGAACGUAGGACAACUCUCUGUACGUGAUUGGGUUGGGGGUGUAUUGGGGUUUUUCUGAGUUUGAUCUUCGAUUGGGUUCUUGCCUUGAGGAGGCUUGAUGGCUGGUAGUUACUGACCUUGGCCGGCUUACUAUAAUCGGCUCUGAACGACCCUUGUUAUACCUACUCGUACUAUUUACUUUCUUUUCCUUCUUCUUCGAGGCCUUUAAAGUCCACUCUCCCCUUUCCUUCAUUUCUGCCAGAACAACUGGCUUGGCUCGAUCAUCUUCUGGGUUAAAACCUGAACCCAUCGGGAAGCUUAAUAGUGCCGAUGUAUCCAUCUGAUAUUGGUUCCCGAUAACAACUGGUACCCCUUGUAUGUCUGGUUGGGUCGGGACGCUUAUUGGGGUAAAACCUGAGGAAUAGAUGAUCUCUUCAAUAUCAUCCUCACUAUUGACCACUGGGCCACUCCUUUUUUUAAAUUCUUCGGCCAGUAACUAGGUUAACUGGCCCAUCAUAUUUCUUUGGAGUUCUAGCAUUUCUCGCAUAUCUUGUUGAAUUUUGAUCAAUUGCUAUUGCAUCUGUAUUUGCCUUUGCUCCAUUCUCUCCAACCUUUGGUCCAUAUCCUUUGUCAGUUCUGAAAUAAUUUUACCUAAUUAAGGUCCUUUUGGGAAAAUCUAAUGCAAAUGAUGCAAUGCAAUGCAAUGCAAAUGUAUGGGAUGAAUGCAAAGGAAAGAAAUAUGUUGAUUUUGAAUUCAAUUCCCUUAGAACAACUUUUCUAGAAAACAAAUUCUUUUACAUAAAACGGAUUACGUAUACGGUCUUGCUUUCAUAUUCCAGGCAAUGAAAAUGAUCCCUUCGUGAAAGUUAAAUCUCGCAAGCUUCCAAUAAAUACCUCUACUAGCUCCUUUAGCUCGAUCUAGGCCAUGACUUACUAUCCUUGCAAUAUUGAUUAGCUUCUUUAAGAAAGUCAGGACGCGACGGCUUUUGAAUAAUCUUUAUUAGCUUGAAUCUUUAGGUAAAGUCGUGUUUUCUCUGCGAACUGUUAGCCUUCUUCUGUCAUGUUUAGACCAUAUUCGGACAACCGUGUUGUAAUCCGCUUUAUCAAGAAAUUCAUUUUCUUAUGACAAACUAUUCUAUUUAGUAAUCGAAUAUGAAUCAACACCUCAUUUCUAUGAAGAUGCAAUACAAUACAGUCAUCAAAAAAACAAAAACAAAAUACGUUAGUACAAGAGAAAUAAAUGACAAAUAAAGCACCUAUUUGGGUGAUCACUAGAGGUUCAGAGUGGCUCUACCUAGGGUAAGCUUCUAGGUCUCUCUUUAUGUGGCUUGGUUCUAGAGCAAGGGUACCUGAACCAGCAGAUUCUUUGAUCCUCACCCAUUAUAGGCUUAUACAGAUCGAGUUCAGUUCAGGGGAAUACAUUUCCUUAUGACCAUGCGGAGAUGAAAAUCUCAUGAAAACAUAGGUAUGGAUGUAUCCCGGAAGUAAUCCACUAGCCCAUGCGGAGGUGAAAACCUCACGGAAGCAUAGUUUCUCACUCCCACUUAGAGGGUGUGACCAUACUGGUCAUGCAAUGCAAUGCAAGCGUACACUACAAAACUUGAACAACAAUCAUGCAAAUGAAUGCAACAAAGAAUCAAAUCAAAAUUUCAAUUUUAGACAAAAGGACAGAAAUUAAUCAAUUUUAUGGCUUGACUCUCUUGUUCAGUCCCCAGUGGAGUCGCCAGUCUGUCGAAACCAUUUUUAGAUUUGAAGAAAAACGGGGAUCAACUUUAAAAAAUGAAAAAUGUGGAGUCGCCACCAAUCUUUUAUUUAGGUGUGAUUGGAUCACCAAAAAAAUUGGUUAAAAUAGUUCUUUUUACUAAAACAACGAUUUUGACCUAUGUAAAUAUGAGAAAAUAGGUUCGGGAGUCGGUUACGUAUGAGGAAGGAUUAGCACCCUCACUACGCCCAAAAUUGGUACCAAAUUGAUUAAAUACUGUCCUUAUGUCUGAGAUUUAAAAGAGUUUUUGAAAUGUGGUUCUUUUUAUUUGAAUAGCCCGAGUUGGUCGUCAAAAGUCCCUUGUUUCAGAGGAAUGCAACAUCACAUCCAGCACGAUAGGACACAAUCCUUUAUAUCCUCGAGAACAUGAUAAAUUCUGACUUCCAAAAGUUUAUAUGUCGAAAAUUGCAAAAGGAUGCCCAAUUAUCUAGUCCAAUGAAAAAAAUCGGAACCCAGCACAAUAGAGCACGAUUCCUCGAAUUUCUAAACAUCGAACAUUGCCUUAUUUUAGAAUUUAGGGAACAUGAGUGAAAUUUUAAAGGGAUAUUCGAUUAUUUUGAACAAAUAGGAAAUCGCAACCCAGCACGAUAGGGCACGAUUCCUCGAAUUGCCAAACAUCGAACAUUACCUUCGUUUUAAAGAAAUUUUAAAGACAUGAGUGAAAUUCCAAAGGAAUAUUCGAUUAUUUUGAACAAACGGGAAAUCGCAACCCAGCACGAUAGGGCACAAUUCCCGAAUUGCCAAACAUCGAGCAUUGCCUUCGUUUUAAAGAAUUUUUAAAUGAAUAAUUAUAAAAAUAGCUUAAAACGCGUUAAUUUUACUUGAAAUAAAACAAAAAUAAUCUUGAAGAUUUGGACCUUAUAAAACCACAUUUCGUAAACCAAGUGGAAAACAAUGAUAUGGGAUAAUACACACGCAUAAGAUACAAUAUUUGAUGAGUGAGGAUAAUGUGUCUUAUUUAAUCAACUAACGAAAUAAACAAUUAAGUAUAAUUAACCUAAAAAAUAUAACCCGAUUACAAUCAUGCAUGGGAAAUAAUUGAUAUAAUAAUACAAUAACGAAAAUAAUAAUAUAACAAUACAACACAACAAAGCAAUACAUACAAUAAUAUGCCACAAUAAUAUACAUAGCAUGAUAUAAAACAAUCAAUGUAAGAUGUAAAAAAAAAAAAAGCAAUUAGAAGCCAAUGUGGUAUAAAACGAUUUUAAAAUAAUGACAAAUAAAUGAACACAUAAUUUACACAAUAUAUAAAUAGAUGAACUUAAAACUAUUUGGAAAAACAAACUGAAAAUAUAUAUACAUAAUUACUAAAACAUAUGUUAUAGGACGAAUAUUUUAAAUCGAAUGAUAUGCAAAGUAUUGAAGAAUAUUGGUUUAAAAUUGACAAUUUACACGUAAGUAAGAAAAUUUUGAAUUAUGUGUAAAGUAUACAAAAAAUAAAUAAAUAAAUAAAUAGUAAUAAAAAUGCAUAAUAAAAUAUAAUCUUUAAAACAUAAUGGAUUUACAAACCAUAUAUAUAUAUGUAUAUAAAUAAACUUAGAAAUACUUGUUUGUAAAGAUAUCAUAGAAAUGUACACAAGAUUAAAUUAUUUUUAUUAUAUACGUACAAAUAUAUAUAAUGAAACAUUUGAAUGAAAUACUAUCUAAAACAUAAAAAUAAUAUAAUAUAAAGAAACAUUCCAAAAUAAUAAUUUUAUAAAUACAAAGAUAAAGUUCCUAAAAUAGUUUCAUAUAUACAUAAAGAAAAAUACUUGAUGAAUCAUAAAGCAAGAAAUAUUUUAAAUAGAAAAAUCUAUUAAAGUAAUAGAUGUAUUAACAUAUAUAUAUAUAUAAAUAUUUAAACAAGAGGUUAUAUAAAAGUAUUAAAAUAACUUAAUGCGAAAUGAAUUUUAAAAUGAUGAUUUUAUAAAACAAACUAAAGUUAUUAAGAUGGUUCAACUCAUGUACAAAAAUAUUGUGAAUCUUCAAAAUAAUAAGUAUUAUAAAUUGAACACUCAAUGAGAAUAAUAUGUAUACUAAUAUGUAUAAAAUAUUUUUUUUAAAAAAUAUUGCGCAAAAUGUAAAAAUAAUAAGAUAAAAGAAGCCUCAAAAUAAUUGAACAAAUGAAAACAAAUAAAAUCAUUAAAAUAAAUUAACAUAUACAAAAAUAUUAAAAGUAUUUUAAAUUAGCAGAUUAUACAAAUAAAAGACCAAAUUAAGAUUAAACCUAAAAUAAAAGGGACAAUUUACAAAUAAAAUAGUUUUAAAAAAAAGGUGCAAAGCAUAUAAAUGUACAGGGACUAGAACUGAAAAUAAUCCAGGUCCCAAAACGCUGCACCUUGGAGCGAACUAAAAUGAAAUAGUGUACAAAUUUUUGGGGAAAAAUUAAAAUAAAACACAUGGAUGCCAAUGGGGGUCUGCUGAAAUGUGGUGCAAAAAGUGAGGGAUUAAUCGUGGAAAUUUCCCAUUUGACAUACAAAUGCACAAAUUGGGUUUUGGCAUAUAUCAACACGUGGUCCCCACCCUUAAACACCACCGUUUCAAUUUAUUUCAAAAUGGCAGGAAAUUGAAUGGCAAUUGGCCAUUUCUUCAAGCCACAAUUAAGGAAAAAACCCUAAUACCCCAUACUUUCCCCUCAUUUGGCCGAUUCUCUCCCCCCCUCCCAAACACUAAGCUACACAUUCAAGCUUGGGGAAUGAUUUUUCAGCCUUGAAAUCUCUUCUUGGCUUCGAUUCAAACAAAGCAAAAAGGAGAUUUAUGGCGUAUUUGCCAGGUAAGAACUUCUUCCUUUUCUUUUUAUUUGCUUUCAAACAUAAAAACGAUAAACCCAAAAGAAUGAAGAACAAAGAAAGAAAAAAAAGCAUAUAGAGAUUUAAAUCAAAAAUCACCUUCUCCAAAAAAAUUGCUUUUGAAUUCUCUAUUCAAUAUGAGUAUGUAGUAUCUCUAAAAAAUACCUGAGGCAAUACAAUAGCCUUGUAUGGCUUUAUAUAGCCGAAAUAAAAAAUAAAAAUACAUCAUUUUUGCUAUUUUGUGCUGCUGUCAUUCCUUCAUUUUUUUGCAGGUACCAGGUAUUGUGGCAAGGCAGCUGGCAUGUACGGGCGUGGGGCGUACGGAGUUCGUGGAGAUCGGGGCUGUUGCGGCGCAAGCAUAAGCUGCUAGGGUUCCCGGCUAUGCUUCUGUUUUGGGCCAUGGGGUGUUUGUUAGUUUGGGCUGUAAUUUGAAUUGGACAUUUUAAUUUAGUGUUUUUUUUGUCUGAUUUGGGCUUAUUGGGUUUAAUUUGGGUUAUGUUUUUAUUUUGGUUUUGGGCCCGGGCAGAUUUGGCCCAUUACAUGUUGCAUCAUAUUAUUUCAUGUUCAUUUAUCCUUUCCUAUGCGAAUGCUUCGAUACAAUGCAUUAAAU
This 5758-nucleotide long non-coding RNA is filed under the name Gossypium barbadense (sea-island cotton). Its description in RNAcentral is "long non-coding RNA (GBAR_LNC004684)". Lineage: Eukaryota; Viridiplantae; Streptophyta; Magnoliopsida; Malvales; Malvaceae. The record is from RNAcentral.